UAUAAAUUUUAAAAAAUUAAAUUAAAAAAAGAACACCUAAGGCUCUUGGGGCACCUGGGUGGCUCAGUCGGUUGAACGUCCAACUCUUGAUUUCAGCUCAGGUCAUGAUCUCAUGGUUUGGUUCACGGGGUCGAGCCCCACCUCAGGCUCUAUGCUGGCAGCAUGGAAACUGCUUGGGAUUCUCUCUCUGCCUUUCCCCUGAUUGCUCUCUCUCUUUCAAAAUAAAUAAAUAAACAUUAAAAAAAAUAAUAAUAAGGCUUUUCCAACUUCACACUGGUAUGGGCCAAAAUUGUCUAAAAAGGGAGGACUGAUUCUAGAGAAGCCCCACAUGCCCCUUUCUUUUCUUCCCCUCCAGCAUUUCAUAUGUGAGAAAACAAAUGAUGGCCAGCUUCAUUUGUCCUCAUCCUGGCCAAGGAGCUCCUACAAAAGUUUUGUUAGACUUCAUCAACUCUGGAACAGUCCCACAGGACUCAGCACACCCCAGAAGACCCUUCUUCUGGGCUCCGGAAGAAGAUAAAUGCCCAGCUGCCUUCUGGGCAUUUCUUCUUGGAUGCCUCAGAGGAAACUUUCAUGGGAACCUGUUUAAGAAACUACACCUGAGGAGUCUUAUCUGCACCUGGACUCGAUGUAGAUGAUGAUGAGAUAGAUGCAGCUCGUGCUGGAGUGAGGGGAGACUUUGGGUUUUUGUGGGGAGGGGGGCAGGGGAAGAGUAUAUUUUGCAUGCCAGAGGGGUGUGAACAUUAAGCGCCAGAGGGCAGAGGCGGCCAUCUUCCAAGAUGGCCCCCAUUGUUCACAAGUCCCAACAAUCACAAUUUUGCAAAGUCCCUUGCACACUGCACCAGUAGCACAUGGCAAAAGUGAUGCUACACAACUUCUCAGGUAGCUCAUCAAAGACUGUGGCCAUUAUUUGGGGUAUGUUGUCUCUCUGUUUCUGUCUGACUCCAUCUUUCUCUCAGAUUACUCACUGUGGGGACAAGCUGUUGUGUUGUGAGUAACCCCAUAGGGAAGCCCACCUGGUGAGGAAGAGAGACCCUGAGACAGAAACACCCAACCGAGCUGCCUCCAGAAUCCUGAGCCUCAGAAACCUCGAGCUGUGAUGCCGAAGGGGCUGGUCAAGAAUCCAGGGGCCAACACGGUGGAAGAGAGAUGCAGAUCCCAUCGGUGAUGUGUAUCAUGCGGCAUGUGGAGCUGGGCACGUUGUGUCAGCUGGUCCCAAGCAGGGUACAGCCGUAAUGCCAGCUGAAGAUUAUUUAUCCUGUUGUCGAGGAGUCUUGUCACUGCUGCCCCACCCCAGGCUGGCCGGAGCCGAAGCUGACCCGCCCCAGAGCCCCGGAGCCCUGCCUUCAGCCUCAGCCAGGUGGACCUGGGGACAGUGGCUGGGCUGUUUACUCCCCGUCUCUCUGUGGGGGCCCCCAACCCCACCCCACCACUGACCUUACUGCAUUUCUCACCCUCCUUGUCACUGCCACACCUUUUGUCUCUCUGGGCCAUCUCAGCCCCUGGGCCUCCGGACUGUGAUCAGCCCUCCUGGGGACCAAAGCCCAGGGUCAGAGAGGAGAAGCGCUCAGGCACGUCCCUACAGCAGCCUUUACUCCCAAGUUCUGAGAGCUUUCCCAGGCAUGCCCUGGAAAGGAAACCAGGGCGGGAGGAAUGAGGUUCCCUAGAAAUAUAUUUAGAUUUCCCAGUGGAGGGACGAGUGGGAGGGUGGAAGGCAGGACUGUGAACUACACUGGACAUUCCGCUCCACUCUGUCCCCAAGGCACGGAGGCUCCUGCUGGAAAACAAAAAAUCCUCCCUGGAAAAGAAUGGGAAAAAGAAAAUUCUUUUACCCACCAGUAAAUCUCCCAGGGCUGUCCUGGGCCAUGGAGAUUAAUUAUAUUACUAUUUGUGAUAAUAAUACAUCUUAUAGCAUA
Neofelis nebulosa (Clouded leopard) is the source of this 1913-nucleotide long non-coding RNA. RefSeq lists it as uncharacterized. Lineage: Eukaryota; Metazoa; Chordata; Mammalia; Carnivora; Felidae. The record is from RefSeq and is a predicted model, not a curated record. The transcript has 5 exons.